GACGAACGCUGGCGGCGUGCUUAACACAUGCAAGUCGAGCGGUAAGGCCCUUUCGGGGGUACGACGAGCGGCGAACGGGUGAGUAACACGUGGGUGACCUGCCCUCAGCUCUGGGAUAAGCCUGGGAAACCGGGUCUAAUACUGGAUAUGACUCCAUGACGCAUGUUGUGGGGUGGAAAGCCUUGUGCGGCUGAGGAUGGGCCCGCGGCCUAUCAGCUUGUUGGUGGGGUGAUGGCCUACCAAGGCGACGACGGGUAGCCGGCCUGAGAGGGCGACCGGCCACACUGGGACUGAGACACGGCCCAGACUCCUACGGGAGGGCAGCAGUGGGGAAUCUUGCGCAAUGGGCGAAAAGCCUGACGCAGCGACGCCGCGUGAGGGAUGAC
RNAcentral lists this ribosomal RNA (386 nucleotides) under uncultured bacterium. RNAcentral describes it as "bacterial SSU rRNA". It matches the Rfam family "Bacterial small subunit ribosomal RNA", at positions 28 to 412 of the family's 1533-position model. The record is from RNAcentral.